GGGUGGCAGAGGGGGCUCUUCCCGAUCCCUCCGAUGUCCCUCGCUCUCCCCGGCGUCCUGCGGUGACGGGUCGCUCCCAUCGACCGUGGCUGGACACCAGGUGACAUCAGGGGACAAGGUCCAGGCCGGGGAGAGGGCGGUGGCACCGGGACGUCCUGAGCCGGGCAGCCCUGACCCCCACGCUGCGCCAUGAGGCUGUGGCUCCUCUGUGGCUUCGUUGCCACCGUGGCCCUCGUGGCCGUGGCCGGAGCCGACCACGGCAACUCCAAGAAGGUGGCGCGGGGAAGAGAGGGGACGCGCGUCGGGGGCCAUCGGCGGCACAGACCCUGUUCGGGGUGUUUCUCCGUCCUGAGCGAGGAGUCACGGUCCAUGUCCUGGCACACUGGAGAAGACGAUGAGGUUCAGCCAGGCAAGAGGGAGGGAGCCGGGCGGGAGGACAAGGAUCCGGCACGGCCCCUGAGACCCCCCCGCAGCCUCCUGCUGCCGCCACAGGAGGCGCUGAGCAUCCGCACGGUGUGGAGAGGAGGGAACCGGGGGUCCGGUCGCCCCCGGGACGUGCCAUGGGGUCCUCCUGCCCCCUCCCAGCUCUGAGGCUGUGCCCCCACACCCAGGGCACAAAUGAACCUGUGCCCAUGCAAGCUCAGCCCCGCUGCCCCCCUCCUGCACCCCCAAAGUGCUUUUUUGGGGGGCAAUUCCCCCUCUUCCCGCUUUGCCAAGCCACCAAAUAAAGCCGAUGAACCAGAGGGAGUUGGGUGUGUU
Molecule: long non-coding RNA, 759 nt
Filed under: Calidris pugnax (ruff)
Lineage: Eukaryota; Metazoa; Chordata; Aves; Charadriiformes; Scolopacidae
Description: lncRNA (ENSCPUG00000000509.1)
Source: RNAcentral